UCAUUUCUCAACAAUCUCAUGGAGUGGAAAACGUUUUUCAGGGAUCCCACUUUCUGGUGGGACAACAGGUUCAAGAAGAAAAACAAGUUCUUCUCAGAGUCCUACCUGGAUUUCAAACAUGUUUCUACCAGAGAGAGCCUGUGGAUCGCCAACAGGAAAACACCAACCUGGGUCUCUGCAAAACUCGAGUCGCUCGCUGACCCAGCUGUAGGUAAGGCCACCACGGCCCGCUACAAAUCUCCACAUACCCCACCUGUAGCUGGUGAUGAACGGGUGAGUUUAGGGAGGCUGAUACACCGCGUGAGAGACUCAGCUGAGAGCAGAUCCCUUUCUUUGGGAAAACAAGCCCAUGAAGCUGUGCUCAAGAGUGAUAAGCACAAAAGCAACAUCUACUUGUUGACGGGAUUGAUCGAUAUGUACUGCAAGUGUGGCGAGCUUGAGGAGGCUCGCAAGAUUUUCGACUCCAUGGGAACCCGGAGUGUUGUGUCCUACAACGCGAUCAUCCAGGGCUGCGGCUCGAAUGGGCAAGCUGAACUUGCUCUGGAGUACUACUCUGCCCUGAGAGCUUGUACCACCAUUCAACCCAACGAUCGGACACAUGUCGCGGUGAUCAGCGCCUGCUCCAGACUUACUACCGAAUCCAGCGAGAAGAGGGAGAGAGCUCUACGCAUUGGGAUGGAGAUCCAUUCAAUUCUCAGCAAGGAGAAGAAACAGGUAGAUCUGUUCGUGGCGACUUGCCUGGUCGACAUGUACUGCAAGUGUGGCGAGCUUGAGGAGGCUCGCAAGAUUUUCCACUCCAUGGGAACUCGGAGUGUUGUGUCCUACAAUGCGAUCAUCCAGGGCUGCAACACGAACGGGCGAGCUGAACUUGCUCUGGAGUACUACUCUGCCCUGAGAGCUUGUACCACCAUUCAACCCAACGAUCGGACUCACGUCGCGGUGAUGAGUGCCUGCUCCAGACUUGCUACCGAAUCCAGCGAGAAGAGGGAGAGAGCUCUACGCAUCGGGAUGGAGAUCCAUUCAAUGCUGAGCAAGGAGAAGAAACAGCUAGAUCUGUUCGUGGCGACUUGCCUGGUAGACAUGUACUGCAAGUGUGGCGAGCUUGAGGAGGCUCGCAAGAUUUUCCACUCCAUGGGAACUCGGACUGUUGUGUCCUACAACGCGAUCAUCCAGGGCUGCGGCUCGAACGGGCAAGCUGAACUUGCUCUGGAGUACUACUCUGCCCUGAGAGCUGAUAACACCAUUCAACCCGACGAUUGGACUCAUGUCGUGGUGAUCAGCGCCUGCUCCACACUUGCUACCGAAUCCAGCGAGAAGAGGGAGAGAGCUCUACGCAUUGGGAUGGAGAUCCAUUCAAUGCUGAGCAAGGAGAAGAAACAGCUAGAUCUGUUCGUGGCGACUUGCCUGGUAGACAUGUACUGCAAGUGUGGCG
Molecule: long non-coding RNA, 1432 nt
Filed under: Selaginella moellendorffii
Lineage: Eukaryota; Viridiplantae; Streptophyta; Lycopodiopsida; Selaginellales; Selaginellaceae
Description: long non-coding RNA (SMOE_LNC001010)
Source: RNAcentral